AGGAUGAACGCUGGCGGCGUGCCUAACACAUGCAAGUCGAACGUCCUGUCUCGCAAGAGGCAGGGAGUGGCGGACGGGUGAGUACCACGUGGGUCAUCUACCGUGAGGUGAGGAAUACCGGCGAGAAAUCGCCGACAAGACCGCAUAGGCUCGAUGCAAGUCGAGCAAAGCUCUUUCGAGAGAGGGAGCGCCACACGAGGAGCCUGCGCCCGAUUAGCUAGCUGGUGGAGUAACGGUUCACCAGGGCGACGAUCGGUAGCUGGUCUGAGAGGACGAUCAGCCACACUGGGAUUGAGAACGGCCCAGACUCCUACGGGGGGCAGCAGUGAGGAAUUUUCGUCAAUGGGGGCAACCCUGAACGAGCAACGCCGCGUGCAGGAAGAAGGUUUUCGGAUCGUAAACUGACUUUUCUCGGGGUAAGAGAAUGGACGGUACCCGAGGAAUCAGCCCCGGCUAACUACGCGCCAGCAGCCGCGGU
RNAcentral lists this ribosomal RNA (478 nucleotides) under uncultured bacterium. RNAcentral describes it as "SSU rRNA". It matches the Rfam family "Bacterial small subunit ribosomal RNA", at positions 26 to 521 of the family's 1533-position model. The record is from RNAcentral.